This 359-nucleotide long non-coding RNA is filed under the name Elaeis guineensis (African oil palm). RNAcentral describes it as "long non-coding RNA (EGUI_LNC008982)". Lineage: Eukaryota; Viridiplantae; Streptophyta; Magnoliopsida; Arecales; Arecaceae. The record is from RNAcentral.
GUCCAUCCACACUUUCUCCACAGGACUUCAGUUCCCUUGGCAACUUGACCGUUGGCACCGGGGCCGCUUAUCACUCUUUCGAAAGCUUUUCCUACCGUUGAAACUAUUGAAUGCUUACAAGGUGUCACUUCUUAAUACAGAGAGAACAAUGAUUCAACAUUAUUUUAUUCCCGAAGUGAGAUCAUACUGUUGGGCCGCUUGAAAUAUCUUAGUUUGCGUGUGCUUCAGUUAAAGAAUAGGACUGGCUUACUUCAUUAUCAGCAACAUUCGCCAUUAUUAGGAUGCUAUCCCCUCAACUUCAUUGCUUCUGUACUUACUAAAUGCUGUGUUAAGUUGUAUUAGAAAAAAACACAUUAGUA